This 891-nucleotide ribosomal RNA is filed under the name uncultured Acidimicrobiia bacterium. RNAcentral's name for it is "bacterial SSU rRNA". It matches the Rfam family "Bacterial small subunit ribosomal RNA", at positions 100 to 1006 of the family's 1533-position model. The record is from RNAcentral. Lineage: Bacteria; Bacillati; Actinomycetota; Acidimicrobiia.
GAACGGGUGAGUAACACGUGAGAAACNUGCUUCGGAGUGGGGAAUAACUCGGGGAAACUCGAGCUAAUACCGCAUACCUUCAGAUGAUCGCAUGGUCGACUGAAGAAAGAAUUUCGCUCUGAGAGGGUCUCGCGGCCUAUCAGCUUGUUGGUGGGGUAACGGCCCACCAAGGCAACGACGGGUAGCUGGAUUGAGAGAUCGAUCAGCCACACUGGAACUGAGACACGGUCCAGACUCCUAUGGGAGGCAGCAGUGGGGAAUCCUGCGCAAUGGGCGAAAGCCUGACGCAGCAACGCCGCGUGCGGGAUGAAGGCCUUCGUGGUUGUAAACCGCUUUCAGCAGGGACGAAAUUGACGGUACCUGCAGAAGAAGCCCCGGCUAACUACGUGCCAGCAGCCGCGGUAAUACGUAGGGGGCAAGCGUUGUCCGGAAUCAUUGGGCGUAAAGAGCUCGUAGGCGGUUCAGUAAGUCGGGUGUGAAAGCUCCGAGCUCAACUCGGAGAGGCCACCCGAUACUGCUGUGACUAGAAUCCAGUAGGGGAGCGUGGAACUCCUGGUGUAGCGGUGAAAUGCGCAGAUAUCAGGAAGAACACCAGCGGCGAAGGCGGCGCUCUGGGCUGGAAUUGACGCUGAGGAGCGAAAGUGUGGGUAGCAAACAGGACUAGAUACCCUGGUAGUCCACACCGUAAACGUUGGGCACUAGGUGUGGGGAGGAUCAACCCUUUCCGUGCCGUAGCUAACGCAUUAAGUGCCCCGCCUGGGGAGUACGGCCGCAAGGCUAAAACUCAAAGGAAUUGACGGGGGCCCGCACAAGCGGCGGAGCAUGUUGCUUAAUUCGAGGCAACGCGAAGAACCUUACCUAGGUUGAAUUACGCAGGAAAAGCUACAGAGA